This is a long non-coding RNA of Odontomachus brunneus, 1511 nucleotides long. RefSeq lists it as uncharacterized. The record is from RefSeq and is a predicted model, not a curated record. The transcript has 3 exons. NCBI's taxonomy places the organism in Eukaryota, Metazoa, Arthropoda, Insecta, Hymenoptera, Formicidae.
UGAUAAUUUUGUAUAUAUUUACAUUUCCCGAUAUGAUACACUUCAGUUUAGCACAUAUACGCGCGAAAUAAUAAUGGAUAAUAAGUCGUGAUAUUAUUUAAUUUUGUAUAGUUAUUAGACCGUUAUUUUCGUGGCAGACACAAUAUAUCUUGAGAUUUAGGAAAAUUUCAAAAUACAAAAUGCCAGUGUAUCAUAAACGUAUGGAUGUACCUAAUGUAAAAGAAGUAUACGGUCCAAUAGAUGGUGUAAGACCGCAAGAUCACUUGAUAACUUACAAUAAUUUACAAUAUCUCCGAUGUUGCCACACAAUCGAGGAAGUCUACGAACAAGUAGGAACCCGUGGGAUAAAAUACUGUCAUAGAUGUUAUAUAAAUAUUCGCAUGCUGUACAGGAUAAAUUGUUUACGAGUUGCUCGUCAUACUCUGGUCCAUGAAAGAAUAGCAUAUAACGGACUAAUAUGUAUACGUUGUAAAAAAACCAUAAUAAGAGUCAAAUCAGCGUUUGAAUGCCGCGAUUGUAUUGAAGAAUAUCUAAUCUGUAAGAAUAAACGGAUUUGGGAAACUGGAUACAGGACGACGGUGGCACAAAGAUGGAUUGAAUAUUGAUAGCAUAUUAAUAUAGAAAUAUUGAGAAAACGUGAACUUGUAAAAAGCAUCUAAUAUUUUUUAAUGUUUAUAUUUCGCAAAAGUUUAUCCAUUGCAAUAUUUCGAACAUUAUCAUCUUCAAUAAUGUAAUAUUUAUAAAUAGGUAUUUUAUCGGAGGACGUUAUAUUUUAAUACAUAGACCUUAGAUUUCAGGAAAAGUCAUAAACAUUAUAUAUCAUGCACACGUAAUAAAUUAUUAACUAACAAUAUAAAUCAAAGAGAUUGCACAUUAAAUGAUUGAUUAUAAUAUAAAUAAUAUCUAUGUUACAUCUAGUCGUGAUAAAAUGUUAAGCGACUUUUCGUCGGUUGAGUAAGUAGGUUCACUUUUGUUUAAUUUUUUUUCUGCAAAUAGCACUUGAUAGAUGUACGUUCCAAGUAAAGCUCCCAAGCAGGGACUGAGCCAAUAAAUCUAUGCAAACAAAAAAAUUGAAUAAUUUAAUAAAAGCUUCAGAAAAGCGAAAGAAAAAGCAAAAAUAUUAUUUGUUUAAUUAUUUUAUUGAUUGUUUGUUUUAUUAAUCGAUAAUUAUAAUUAUUUGUGAAAAUAUGUUUUAUUCUCCAUAGAAUAUCUUGCUUGUUCUUUAAUCAUGAUAUGCAAAUGUAAUCGAUUUAAAAAAAUUUAUAUUAUUUAAUAAACUUAUAAUAAUUUUGUAAAUCAAGGUUAUAAUUUAAUUGUUUAUAUGCUCGUUGUUACAUGCAUAUAUUAUAUAUAUAUAUACAAUACAAUACACAGUUUGAUAAAAAUGAUUAUAAUUGAUCGAAACUCGUUAUAAAUGAAAUCAAGUUUUACGCGUUAAAAAUUAAAAGGAGAAAUACAUCAAUGUACGAUAAAAUGAAAAAAACUUGUUAAAAUAAACCUGCUGAAAAAUA